Non-coding RNA from Xylaria bambusicola, 128 nucleotides. The record is from the annotation of a RefSeq genome assembly. Lineage: Eukaryota; Fungi; Ascomycota; Sordariomycetes; Xylariales; Xylariaceae.
GGUGAGAUGGCCGAGUGGUUAUGGCGCUGCGUUCAGGACUUACCUGAAUUCACUCCUCGAGUUAACUCUCGAGAUUCAGAAGUUUCGCAGUGGAGCAAUCCGCGUGGGUUCGAGUCCCACUCUCAUCA